RNAcentral lists this transfer RNA (76 nucleotides) under Pseudomonadota bacterium. Its description in RNAcentral is "tRNA-Thr". It matches the Rfam family "tRNA". Rfam says of the family: Transfer RNA (tRNA) molecules are approximately 80 nucleotides in length. RNAcentral also lists the same sequence under 1 other name. The record is from RNAcentral. Lineage: Bacteria; Pseudomonadati; Pseudomonadota.
GCCCAUAUAGCUCAGUCGGUAGAGCACUUUCUUGGUAAGGAAGAGGUCACCGGUUCAAAUCCGGUUAUGGGCUCCA